Long non-coding RNA from Helianthus annuus (common sunflower), 456 nucleotides. RefSeq lists it as uncharacterized. The transcript is spliced from 2 exons. Lineage: Eukaryota; Viridiplantae; Streptophyta; Magnoliopsida; Asterales; Asteraceae. The record is from RefSeq and is a predicted model, not a curated record.
CCGCUGCCCUAAUUUUAAUGGAUUCACGAUACAAUUAGUAUCAAAUGUCGACCUACACUUCCCUUCCACAAAAAGCUGCAACAACCAAAGCCCCCUGCCCUGCUUCCCCUUCCCCACGAAAGCCCCCUGUCCUGCUUCCUUGGUAUUCGCUGCAACAACCAACAACCGACGCCCUCUGCCCUGCUUCCCUUGCAUGAUUCUGACUCCUAUGCUUAGAAAUGGAGAAACAAAGGAUUUGAUUGGAACCUUUGAGAGGCAUAAAGGUGUCGUUUGGAGUUGCUGUCAUUAGUUUCCUUUCAUAAUUGUGUAUUUAUCAAUAUAAGUUUAAUAAUAUGAUAUUCAUCUUUUCAAUACACUAACAAUUUACUAUCAAUCUCAUAGUAAAUAAAAAUCAAUUGAUUGUAUCACAAGACUUUUCAUUCUGCAAUGUUGAUUUUAUCUAUUUCAAGCUGGUUA